UUUUUUGGCUACCUCUUAAAUUCAAAACACCUAUUCCCCCUCAGGGAUCAUUUUGAUUCAAAUACAAUAAAAUUUCAGAUAUAAAACCAACUUCCAGUUAACACACAAAUACCUACUAUAUGCCAGACUAUAUGCUAAAACUGAAAAGGUGGAAUAAGACCCAGUCCUUGCCCUCAAGGAGCCCACGGCCUUAUUGAGGAGAAUGAAAGGUCAAUGGGAAAGCUGUCUGAGACAAUAUGAAAAUCAAUGAUGCCACUCUAGCAUUAGCUGAAGAUCCCCUUGAUUUCAUCCAGCAGCCAAGACACUAAGUGACCCAAAGGAAGAAAAGGGUGAUCAGCGUGGCUGUGUGGUCAGUAAGUAAAUGUGCAACAGCUGGAGUAAAUUAGAACUAAUUUAGUGCAUAACUUCAGCAGGAAUAAAUUUUGUUAAUCUUCAAAAAGUCAAA
Long non-coding RNA from Homo sapiens (human), 445 nucleotides. Lineage: Eukaryota; Metazoa; Chordata; Mammalia; Primates; Hominidae. The record is from Ensembl.